AAAAAAUUGAAAAAAAAA
RNAcentral lists this small RNA (18 nucleotides) under Arabidopsis thaliana (thale cress). RNAcentral's name for it is "ATSL137120". Lineage: Eukaryota; Viridiplantae; Streptophyta; Magnoliopsida; Brassicales; Brassicaceae. The record is from RNAcentral.